UGGGGAAUUUUGGACAAUGGGCGCAAGCCUGAUCCAGCCAUGCCGCGUGCGGGAAGAAGGCCUUCGGGUUGUAAACCGCUUUUGUCAGGGAAGAAACGCUCUGGGCUAAUACCCUGGGGUAAUGACGGUACCUGAAGAAUAAGCACCGGCUAACUACGUGCCAGCAGCCGCGGUAAUACGUAGGGUGCAAGCGUUAAUCGGAAUUACUGGGCGUAAAGCGUGCGCAGGCGGCUAUGCAAGACAGAUGUGAAAUCCCCGGGCUCAACCUGGGAACUGCAUUUGUGACUGCAUAGCUGGAGUGCGGCAGAGGGGGAUGGAAUUCCGCGUGUAGCAGUGAAAUGCGUAGAUAUGCGGAGGAACACCGAUGGCGAAGGCAAUCCCCUGGGCCUGCACUGACGCUCAUGCACGAAAGCGUGGGGAGCAAACAGGAUUAGAUACCCCGGUAGUCCCUGAGCGGGCUGGCAAGGCGCAU
RNAcentral lists this ribosomal RNA (472 nucleotides) under uncultured bacterium. RNAcentral's name for it is "bacterial SSU rRNA". It matches the Rfam family "Bacterial small subunit ribosomal RNA", at positions 355 to 825 of the family's 1533-position model. The record is from RNAcentral.